Arachis ipaensis is the source of this 366-nucleotide non-coding RNA. NCBI's taxonomy places the organism in Eukaryota, Viridiplantae, Streptophyta, Magnoliopsida, Fabales, Fabaceae. The record is from RefSeq and is a predicted model, not a curated record.
CAAAUACUAUCUCACCAGCUUAAAUGUGUAGUGAAGUUCUUGCAUGUUGAGGACUGGAAAUUUUGUGAAUCCAAAAAGAUUUUAAGACUUCAAAAGAAGUGGCUUUUUAGUUGUUGCUCUGUAUGUCCAUCAUGGAGAGAAGAAGGAGUAUCAGAAUUAUUGCUCUAGAAGAGAAGAAGAAAGAAGAAAAAGAAAGAAAGAUGGCACUGGUAUUAGAAAAAAGGAACAAUUCUCACAACAAAGGUAAAGGAAUUAUAAUCAAUGAAGGGAAUGACAUGAAUUCAAGUGAUGAUGAUGAUGACGACGACGAGCAGAGUGUUCUAUUUAAGGAAGUACAACCGGUACAUAUAGGAAGUUCUUGUAUUU